CUCCGAACAGGUGUCCUAUGGGGGUAGUGCAUUAAUUGGUGGGUGGGGAGAAAAGGUUUAUAUAAGGCACUGCCUCCAGCUGGCGUUAGUUGUUUUCCCCCCUUCGACGGUAUGGCGGGGUUGCGGCUUAUCUGGGCGGUUCGACCAACAAACUGUUUCACAGCGCGAGCUGUCUGGCAGCGCCAAGAAGGUGCUGCGGGCCACGGCGGGGACCCAACCCCUGGUGGAGGGCGUUUUCAUCACCCGUGGCGUUGUCGUCAACCGUUCCACCUCUCCCCACCCCGCCAUGCCAGCAUCUACUGUACCCUGCAGAAGAAUAUUCUCCAAAUGUGGAGAAAUUGUGAGCAAAAAAAUAAACUGGUUAAAUCCCAAUACUGUGGAAAAAAAAAAAUAACGUACCUCAAUAAAAACGUUGAGUCUACAAUUACACAAGAAUACCCAAGCUAUGGCAUAUUUUACCAGCAUUUUCUCCUUAACAAAACAAAGCUCAUGUGUGCGCCUCCCGGUCACCAAUAG
RNAcentral lists this long non-coding RNA (516 nucleotides) under Takifugu rubripes (torafugu). RNAcentral's name for it is "lncRNA (ENSTRUG00000031331.1)". Lineage: Eukaryota; Metazoa; Chordata; Actinopteri; Tetraodontiformes; Tetraodontidae. The record is from RNAcentral.